UAACCAGGACCUAUUAACUCACUCU
RNAcentral lists this non-coding RNA (25 nucleotides) under Rattus norvegicus (Norway rat). The record is from RNAcentral. Lineage: Eukaryota; Metazoa; Chordata; Mammalia; Rodentia; Muridae.